Long non-coding RNA from Astatotilapia calliptera (eastern happy), 1388 nucleotides. The record is from Ensembl. NCBI's taxonomy places the organism in Eukaryota, Metazoa, Chordata, Actinopteri, Cichliformes, Cichlidae.
CUGAAAUUAUAUGUUGCUGGAGAAGACAGUUGGGUGGAUAAAAUGAAGUGUGAAUAAUUCCUGUGCAGGCUCAUAUCCCAGUUUGCAGAUAUUCUAUUGGGUGAAAAAGAUUCAGUACCUUUUUGGUGUCAGUAAUAUAUAAACAUCCUAUAAGUUUCUAUGCGUUUUGUUUUCAAGUAAGCGAAAGAUGGUUUAACUUUUUUUCUGGCGGUCUGGUGAAUUCUUCCAUGCAACAUCGAUCCACUUUUAGCUCAGUUUUUGGUCUCCUCCAUCUCUAAAGGCUUCAUCUGGCUGUUUGGCUGCUAAACUCUCUGCUUUAUUUAAGAAAUGCUUCAGUGAAACGGUUCCAUUAACAGAGCAUUUUAAACACGCAUACCUUUUUUGUUUAUUACCGGAAGCAAGCGGAUACAAGUUGAGGAUAUUACACUGACAUAUCUAAGUAAGCAAAAAGUGUUUUUGCUUCAAACAUCUGUCAGUUUCUCUGCCACGGGCAAACUGAGCAUGAAUUUAAACUCACCCAAGGACAGGGAUCCGAGGGUUCGCAAAGAUUGGAACAAAACCUUCCUGGAGAGGAAUUUUGCAAACCUUCACAGUGCAUUUGUAUGGUGUCAGAACUGUUCCACAAUACAGUCAAUCAAGCUCACAAAUUACAAAACCUACAGUUUGAUCUUCUUUUUAAACAGUUAGCAGCUGGAGUGAACUUUAAUUCUAAAGUUUCUGAGUUAAAAACUACAGUGAAAAAAGUUUUUUUUUUUUUUUUUUUCUGGCAUCAAAGAAAUCUGUCCCUUCUGAACUUCUGAUCCUCCUUCUUCUUAAAUACAUUCCUCUGAAGCUAAUAUGAGGUUCCGGAUCCCACAGUACAACAAAUCAAGUGGCUGUUUUCCAGAGUUACACAAUUUUCAAGACAAAAUUCCUAAUUUACGAUACUGUCUGCUGUCUCUGAGCAGUCAGGGGAAGGUCAAAGAGGGGAUUUUACACAAGACGUCAGUAACAUUGGAAUAGUUUAUUUCAGUCUGCUGAAGUCUGGAAUGCAUUUCAACAUAUAUUAGAGACUGUUUAAUCCCAAAAGCUCCUCAGAUGUCUCCCUCAUAAUUUUUGCUUCUCUUCGCACAUUAAUCAUCGAAGAACCCCACAGUUAAAACUACCUCUGUUGACCAGCUACAACAGAAAAAUCCUAUGUAUAGAAUACCCGAUGAACAGUUCCUUAUUUACAUAUCCUUCCGUGGGGAGUUUCCAGCCACCUGACAAAUGGGAGAAAUAACUCUCAACAUUCUGUUUGAUGCUCGUUUUUGGACUCCCCCAACUCCACAGGGAAAUGCUCCAUGUUCACCUCACAAGCACAUACGUGCUAUUAUUUUUGAUGCAUGCUCAUCCAGGAAAGGUGAUUC